RNAcentral lists this ribosomal RNA (372 nucleotides) under uncultured eukaryote. RNAcentral describes it as "SSU rRNA". It matches the Rfam family "Eukaryotic small subunit ribosomal RNA", at positions 587 to 973 of the family's 1831-position model. The record is from RNAcentral.
AGCUCCAAUAGCGUAUAUUAAAGUUGUUGCAGUUAAAAUGCUCGUAGUUGAAGUUUGGAUUGAGUAGAGCAUCAAAGCACUCUUAAUGGUGUUUCGUAGCUCUGGCUUGUCCACGGUGCGCUGCAAGCCGCGUUUGUGGUUUGAGCGUACACUUUACUUUGAGAAACAUAGGGUGUUCCACGCAUGUUACUGCAUGAAUAUUCCAGCAUGGGAUAAUAUGGUACGACUUUCAUUCUGCCAUUUUGGUUCGUAGAAUGAAAGUAAUGAUUAAUAGGGACUGUCGGGGGCAUUGGUAUUUGACUGUCAGAGGUGAAAUUCUUAGAUUUGUCGAGGACCAACCACUGCGAAAGCAUUUGUCAAGGAUGUCUCCAU